Molecule: ribosomal RNA, 273 nt
Filed under: uncultured Fluviicola sp.
Lineage: Bacteria; Pseudomonadati; Bacteroidota; Flavobacteriia; Flavobacteriales; Crocinitomicaceae
Description: partial 16S ribosomal RNA
Rfam family: Bacterial small subunit ribosomal RNA
Source: RNAcentral
UACGGAGGGUGCAAGCGUUAUCCGGAAUCAUUGGGUUUAAAGGGUCCGCAGGCGGGUUUAUAAGUCAGUGGUGAAAGCCUACAGCUCAACUGUAGAACUGCCAUUGAAACUGUAGAUCUUGAAUUCGGUCGAAGUGGGCGGAAUAUGACAUGUAGCGGUGAAAUGCUUAGAUAUGUCAUAGAACACCGAUAGCGAAGGCAGCUCACUAGGCCUGGAUUGACGCUCAGGGACGAAAGCGUGGGGAGCAAACAGGAUUAGAAACCCGCGUAGUCC